This 571-nucleotide ribosomal RNA is filed under the name uncultured Bacteroidota bacterium. Its description in RNAcentral is "SSU rRNA". It matches the Rfam family "Bacterial small subunit ribosomal RNA", at positions 242 to 810 of the family's 1533-position model. The record is from RNAcentral. Lineage: Bacteria; Pseudomonadati; Bacteroidota.
CAGCUAGUUGGCGGGGUAAUGGCCCACCAAGCCUGCGAUCAGUAACUGGUGUGAGAGCACGACCAGUCACACGGGCACUGAGGCACGGGCCCGACUCCUACGGGAGGCAGCAGUAAGGAAUAUUGGUCAAUGGACGCAAGUCUGAACCAGCCAUGCCGCGUGGAGGAUUAAGGCCCUCUGGGUUGUAAACUCCUUUUAUCUGGGAAGAAAUCCACAUAUUCUUAUGUGGUUGACGGUACCAGAGGAAUAAGCACCGGCUAACUCCGUGCCAGCAGCCGCGGUAAUACGGAGGGUGCAAGCGUUAUCCGGAUUCACUGGGUUUAAAGGGUGCGUAGGCGGGUAAGUAAGUCCGUGGUGAAAUCUCUGAGCUUAACUCAGAAACUGCCGUGGAUACUAUUUGCCUUGAAUAUUGCGGAGGUGAGCGGAAUAUGUCAUGUAGCGGUGAAAUGCUUAGAUAUGACAUAGAACACCAAUUGCGAAGGCAGCUCACUACACAAUCAUUGACGCUGAGGCACGAAAGCGUGGGGAUCAAACAGGAUUAGAUACCCUGGUAGUCCACGCCCUAAACGAU